This is a long non-coding RNA of Spea bombifrons (plains spadefoot toad), 670 nucleotides long. RefSeq lists it as uncharacterized. The record is from RefSeq and is a predicted model, not a curated record. NCBI's taxonomy places the organism in Eukaryota, Metazoa, Chordata, Amphibia, Anura, Pelobatidae. The transcript has 2 exons.
CCUGCAGCGGAUAUAUAUUAAUAUUAGCCCCUGCUGCGGAUACAUAAUUAUAUUAUACCCUGCUGAUGAUAUACAUACUUAUAUUAUACCCUGCUGCCGAUAUACAUAAAAAUUAUACCCUGCUGCCAACAUAUAUUAAUAUUAGCCCCUACUGCCGAUAUAUAUUAUUAGUCCCUGCAGCCAAUAUAUAUAAAUAUUAGCCCCUGCAGCCAAUAUUUAUUGAUAAUAGGCCCUGCAGCCAAUAUAUAUUAAUAUUAGCCCCUGCUGCCGAUAUAUAUAAAUAUUACCCCAUGCAGCCAAUAUAUUUGCCACACUGACUACAGAUCAGGGGAAGACUGUGAGAGUCAGUCCUGCACCGUGACAUUGAGAGGUCCUCUCCCCUGUAAUCAGCUCCAGAGUCCCUUUGUCCCCUCAUUCACUAAACCAUACCGCUCUUUUACUUACACCCUGUAGUUCAGGUAUAGAUCAAAUAAACAACACAUGGAAACAGCACACGCAACUGAAUGAGAUAAAAAAAACCUGUAUUUGCAGGUAUACAUAAAUAAUGUAUGGAAACAUAGCAGAUACAGAUCAACAGAAUUUGACAAACUAUUUGACAUCCAAACAACUAUAAAUCAUUCUUUUUUAUCACAUUAUUAAAAUCCCAGAAAUCAAAAAAGGCCCAAAUAAA